Molecule: ribosomal RNA, 377 nt
Filed under: uncultured bacterium
Lineage: Bacteria
Description: bacterial SSU rRNA
Rfam family: Bacterial small subunit ribosomal RNA
Source: RNAcentral
AUACGGGGGGUGCAAGCGUUAAUCGGAAUUACUGGGCGUAAAGCGCGCGUAGGCGGUUAUUUAAGUCAGAUGUGAAAUCCCCGGGCUUAACCUGGGAAUUGCAUUUGAGACUGGAUGGCUAGAGUGUGAUAGAGGUGAGUGGAAUUUCAGGUGUAGCGGUGAAAUGCGUAGAUAUCUGAAGGAACAUCAGUGGCGAAGGCGACUCACUGGGCCAUUACUGACGCUGAGGUGCGAAAGCGUGGGUAGCAAACAGGAUUAGAUACCCUGGUAGUCCACGCCCUAAACGAUGUCAACUAGGUGUAUGGAGAAUAUAUUCUUUGUGUAUCGAAGCUAACGCGAUAAGUUGACCGCCUGGGGAGUACGGUCGCAAGACUAAA